This 253-nucleotide ribosomal RNA is filed under the name uncultured bacterium. RNAcentral's name for it is "partial 16S ribosomal RNA". It matches the Rfam family "Bacterial small subunit ribosomal RNA", at positions 524 to 776 of the family's 1533-position model. The record is from RNAcentral. RNAcentral also lists the same sequence under 1 other name.
UACGGAGGGGGUUAGCGUUGUUCGGAAUUACUGGGCGUAAAGCGCACGUAGGCGGAUUGGAAAGUAUGGGGUGAAAUCCCAGGGCUCAACCCUGGAACGGCCUCAUAAACUCCCAGUCUGGAGUUCGAGAGAGGUGAGUGGAAUUCCGAGUGUAGAGGUGAAAUUCGUAGAUAUUCGGAGGAACACCAGUGGCGAAGGCGGCUCACUGGCUCGAUACUGACGCUGAGGUGCGAAAGUGUGGGGAGCAAACAGG